Molecule: ribosomal RNA, 377 nt
Filed under: uncultured bacterium
Lineage: Bacteria
Description: bacterial SSU rRNA
Rfam family: Bacterial small subunit ribosomal RNA
Source: RNAcentral
AUACGUAGGUGGCAAGCGUUGUCCGGAAUUAUUGGGCGUAAAGCGCGCGCAGGCGGCUUCUUAAGUCUGAUGUGAAAGCCCACGGCUCAACCGUGGAGGGUCAUUGGAAACUGGGAGGCUUGAGUGCAGAAGAGGAGAGCGGAAUUCCACGUGUAGCGGUGAAAUGCGUAGAGAUGUGGAGGAACACCAGUGGCGAAGGCGGCUCUCUGGUCUGUAACUGACGCUGAGGCGCGAAAGCGUGGGUAGCGAACAGGAUUAGAUACCCUGGUAGUCCACGCCGUAAACGAUGAGUGCUAAGUGUUAGAGGGUUUCCGCCCUUUAGUGCUGCAGCAAACGCAUUAAGCACUCCGCCUGGGGAGUACGGCCGCAAGGCUGAA